GACGAACGCUGGCGGCGGGCUUAACACAUGCAAGUCGAACGGAAAGGCCCUGCUUUUGUGGGGUGCUCGAGUGGCGAACGGGUGAGUAACACGUGAGUAACCUGCCCUUGACUUUGGGAUAACUUCAGGAAACUGGGGCUAAUACCGGAUAGGAGCUCCUGCUGCAUGGUGGGGGUUGGAAAGUUUCGGCGGUUGGGGAUGGACUCGCGGCUUAUCAGCUUGUUGGUGGGGUAGUGGCUUACCAAGGCUUUGACGGGUAGCCGGCCUGAGAGGGUGACCGGCCACAAUGGGACUGAGAGACGGACCAGAGUCCUACGGGAGACAGCAGUGGGGAAUCUUGCACAAUGGGCGGAAGCGUGAUGAAGCAACGCCGCGUGCGGGAUGACGGCCUUCGGGUUGUAAACCGCUUUCGCCUGUGACGAAGCUUGAGUGACGGUAAUGGGUAAAGAAGCACCGGCUAACUACGUG
RNAcentral lists this ribosomal RNA (468 nucleotides) under uncultured bacterium. RNAcentral's name for it is "partial 16S ribosomal RNA". It matches the Rfam family "Bacterial small subunit ribosomal RNA", at positions 28 to 507 of the family's 1533-position model. The record is from RNAcentral.